UCAACGGAUAAAAGGUACUCCGGGGAUAACAGGCUGAUACCGCCCAAGAGUUCAUAUCGACGGCGGUGUUUGGCACCUCGAUGUCGGCUCAUCACAUCCUGGGGCUGAAGUAGGUCCCAAGGGUAUGGCUGUUCGCCAUUUAAAGUGGUACGCGAGCUGGGUUUAGAACGUCGUGAGACAGUUCGGUCCCUAUCUGCCGUGGGCGCUGGAGAACUGAGGGGGGCUGCUCCUAGUACGAGAGGACCGGAGUGGACGCAUCACUGGUGUUCGGGUUGUCAUGCCAAUGGCACUGCCCGGUAGCUAAAUGCGGAAGAGAUAAGUGCUGAAAGCAUCUAAGCACGAAACUUGCCCCGAGAUGAGUUCUCCCUGAGACUUAGAG
RNAcentral lists this ribosomal RNA (379 nucleotides) under Salmonella enterica subsp. enterica serovar Typhimurium. Its description in RNAcentral is "partial 23S ribosomal RNA". It matches the Rfam family "Bacterial large subunit ribosomal RNA", at positions 2449 to 2824 of the family's 2925-position model. Lineage: Bacteria; Pseudomonadati; Pseudomonadota; Gammaproteobacteria; Enterobacterales; Enterobacteriaceae. The record is from RNAcentral.